Molecule: ribosomal RNA, 367 nt
Filed under: Clostridioides difficile
Lineage: Bacteria; Bacillati; Bacillota; Clostridia; Peptostreptococcales; Peptostreptococcaceae
Description: bacterial SSU rRNA
Rfam family: Bacterial small subunit ribosomal RNA
Source: RNAcentral
UUUUAUUUGAGAGUUUGAUCCUGGCUCAGGAUGAACGCUGGCGGCGUGCCUAACACAUGCAAGUUGAGCGAUUUACUUCGGUAAAGAGCGGCGGACGGGUGAGUAACGCGUGGGUAACCUACCCUGUACACACGGAUAACAUACCGAAAGGUAUGCUAAUACGGGAUAAUAUAUUUGAGAGGCAUCUCUUGAAUAUCAAAGGUGAGCCAGUACAGGAUGGACCCGCGUCUGAUUAGCUAGUUGGUAAGGUAACGGCUUACCAAGGCGACGAUCAGUAGCCGACCUGAGAGGGUGAUCGGCCACAUUGGAACUGAGACACGGUCCAAACUCCUACGGGAGGCAGCAGUGGGGAAUAUUGCACAAUGGG